UACGGAGGGGGCUAGCGUUGUUCGGAAUUACUGGGCGUAAAGCGUGCGUAGACGGUUAUUUAAGUCGGGUGUGAAAGCCCCGGGCUCAACCUGGGAAUUGCAUUCGAGACUGAAUAGCUAGGGUACGGUAGAGGGGGAUGGAAUUCCGCGUGUAGCAGUGGAAAUGCGUAGAUAUGCGGAGGAACACCGAUGGCGAAGGCAAUCCCCUGGACCUGUACUGACGCUCAUGCACGAAAGCGUGGGGAGCAAACAGG
RNAcentral lists this ribosomal RNA (254 nucleotides) under uncultured bacterium. RNAcentral describes it as "partial 16S ribosomal RNA". It matches the Rfam family "Bacterial small subunit ribosomal RNA", at positions 524 to 776 of the family's 1533-position model. The record is from RNAcentral.